Molecule: ribosomal RNA, 253 nt
Filed under: uncultured bacterium
Lineage: Bacteria
Description: partial 16S ribosomal RNA
Rfam family: Bacterial small subunit ribosomal RNA
Source: RNAcentral
UACGGAGGGGCUAGCGUUGUUCGGAAUUACUGGGCGUAAAGCGCACGUAGGCGGCUUUGUAAGUUAGAGGUGAAAGCCCGGGGCUCAACUCCGGAAUUGCCUUUAAGACUGCAUCGCUAGAAUUGUGGAGAGGUAAGUGGAAUUCCGAGUGUAGAAGUGAAAUUCGUAGAUAUUCGGAAGAACACCAGUGGCGAAGGCGGCUCACUGGCCCGGUUCUGACGCUGAGGUGCGAAAGCGUGGGGAGCAAAGCAGG